This is a long non-coding RNA of Macaca fascicularis (crab-eating macaque), 1867 nucleotides long. Lineage: Eukaryota; Metazoa; Chordata; Mammalia; Primates; Cercopithecidae. The record is from Ensembl.
UAAUGAAUGUGGGAAGUACUAUCAUAAGUCAGAUCUCACUAAACAUCAGAGAACACACACAAGGGAGAAACCCUAUGAAUGUAGUCAGUGUGGGAAAAGCUUCAGUUGCAGCUUAGGUCUCAAAGUAUAUCAGAGAAGACACACAAGGGAGAAACCCUAUGGAUGUAAGCAGUGUGGGGAAACCCUCUGAGAAAUAAACUCUCAUAGCACAUCCAAGGAUACACAUGGGAAAAAGCUUAUAAAUGUAGAAAUGAGAGAAAUCUUUCUCAAGCAAUUCAUACCUCAAAAUACUUAGGAGAAAUCAAAUAGGACAUGACCCCUGUGAAUGUAAAGAACUUGGCAAACCUUUUACCAUAAGUCAUCUUCCAAAGUAAAUAAGAGAAUAGCAUAGGGGAAAUUCCUAAUAAUGUAAUGAAUGUUUGAAAAUCUGCUGUAAGAGACAACUACAAAGUAACUGAAUACAUGUAGAAGAAACACUACUGAUCCAUGUAGAGAAUAUGGGGAAAUAUUUUGCUAUAAUUUGGAAUUUAUUAAACAAAGAACUUCCAUAGGAAAUAAUCUAAUGACUCACAUGGAUAUAUGAAAAUGUUCUUCCAGAGAAUGACCAUUAAUAAAAAUAAGAUAAACCACAUUUAGAGAAAACUGUCAACAUUCUGUUUCUUUUGACAACUUUAUGUACAAGUUUUACUCAUUGUAUAUUAAAUAAAUAAUAGGGAAGGUAUUCAAAGAAUGCAGCAAAUGUAGUUGAGUCUAUAUCAAGAAAUGUCAUUUUACUAAGCAAGAUAAUUCAUACUGAGUUAAAGUCAUAACAGAUAUUUUGAAUGUGAAGACAUUAACAAAUAUCUAGACUUUAUUAUAUCUGAAGAUUGUAUUAAAGGAAAUGUGUCAAUUUAGGAAAUAAUGAAUAGAAAUUUUCUUCUAGAUACAGUAUUAUCCUGAAAGUCAUGUUUUUAAAAAAUUAGUCAUAUUUUGUUCUGAUCCCAAAUUUUUAAAUAGAAAUGUAACUGUAAACAGAAUUCUAUACAAAUAGUAACUGUAGAGUAUGAAGAUUUUUUUAAAGCACAAAUAAAUUGAAUAACCUUUUCAGUCUCUGAGUCCACUUUUGGGGAAAGAGUGUUACCCCAUGGCCCUUUCUGUCAUGAGCAUCUCCUGUCCUUGAUUAGUCUGCCCUCCAACUAUACUGUUGCCUCUGCAUUUUCUGCCUAAUGGACCUACCCUUAGGGGAGCUCAGGAUGGACCACCCUCUUACCAGAACAUACAUUGGGACCAGCCAGAAGCAGUGGGAUAUAGGUUGUCCUUGAGGCUGCAUCUGCCCCUCUUCCUAGGUGCAGAGACUGGAAACCACAUUAAGUGUGUGUACAAAGCUAGAGGACUACCUAGAACCUUUAGCCCAUGUGAGUUUGGUCUCCAAUUCAGAGCCACAGGAAGCUCAGUAUAGCUUACUUUUUUAAAUCCAAGCCUAUUGACUGAAUUUUAGUGAACCCUUUUAGGUGGGCUGGUGUAGUUUUAGUGAAAUAUUUCAUAACAUAACCAUCAGUGUACAUAUUGCAGCUUGGAAGUAAAGUAUUGCAAAAGUAGUUGAAGUAUCUGCAUGUCAUUCCCAAAUUUCUUUAACUUCCUAUAACCUUUACCACCUUUAAGCCUUAUUUUAAACUUGGUUUUUAUUCAUACCAUGUCUCAUUACUUUCAUUCUUUAUUUCCAUAUAUACACAUAUACUAUUGUGGAUGUACAAUAACAUAUUUUGUUGUUUUGCAAGUAUUUGCAAAAGUUAAAGUUAUUCAGCUUUUGUCUUCAAAUGCAUGGUUUUGACCUUUUUACCUGCUGAUAUGUUUAGCUUUACUUAUUUUAAUAAAGUAUAAUAAAUAA